UGGGCUGGAUGGCGGCGG
Molecule: unclassified non-coding RNA, 18 nt
Filed under: Chlamydomonas reinhardtii
Lineage: Eukaryota; Viridiplantae; Chlorophyta; Chlorophyceae; Chlamydomonadales; Chlamydomonadaceae
Description: small RNA Cre_3383
Source: RNAcentral